This is an RNA transcript of Papaver somniferum (opium poppy), 1461 nucleotides long. It is a transcript of the gene named AUGMIN subunit 1-like, with no coding region annotated. Lineage: Eukaryota; Viridiplantae; Streptophyta; Magnoliopsida; Ranunculales; Papaveraceae. The record is from RefSeq and is a predicted model, not a curated record. The transcript has 8 exons.
AAACGAAAACAAAUAUUUGUCAAAAAAAAAAAAAAAACCUUCGCAAACAUUUGCUAGGUAAAAGCUUGUACCAGAAUUUGUAUCAUAAACCCCAAAAUCGUUUGCACUUAUUUAAAAACUGCUGCAAGUUAAUCACAAAACCCCAAAAUCGGAUAACAUAAAAUCCCUCGAUCCGGAGGGAACUUGUGUUAAGAUGAGCGAUCUUGGAGAUCAUUCUGUAAAUGAAGGGAAAAGUGGAUUUGAUAGUACAAGAAUUGCGGAAGUAAAAGCUUGGCUUGUUUCUCAAUUUGAAUCUGUUGGAAAAGAUGUGCCGGAUUUUGAAUAUACCACUAGAAGUAUUUCACAUUUACAUUCUCUUGCUUCUAUUUCUCAAGCUAAGACUCAAGCUGCUGGAAUCGUUGCUUCAGAUCUUCGUCAGAAAGCAAUGGAGUAUCGUUCUCAAGCGGCGAGGAUUAGAGAAAUUUUACAAAGUGUAGGGUUGGCACAAGAAGGUUUACCACCAAAUGCAGUUACAUCUGUACAAGUUGUUGCGAAUGUUGCAAAUUUGUUGAAUAUAAGAGAUACUGAAAUGAGCAGUUUUCUAGUAGCAAUGGCUGAUAUUUCUUUGAGGAAGAGUGGAGUAGAGGAGAAAAGGGCAAAUGUACAAAAGGAGUCCAAAGUUUUACUGGAUUACACUCGCAAAGCUAUUUCUAGACUUACAUAUUUGAAAAGAACACUUGGACAGUUGGAAGAUGAUGUGGCUACUUGUGAGGGUCAAAUGAAUCAUUGGAAAACUAAUUUGACAAUUAUGCUUUCAAAAGAGCGUCAGUACUUGCAGCAGUUUUCUAAUUAUAAGGCAUUACUCAAUCGUGUGGGUUACACAUCAGAUAUCAGCCAUGGUGAAUUGGUUGAAAUGGAUGAACACCGAAAGGAGUUGGAGAAAAAGACAAAGCCUAUCAUGGAUACCUUGAGAAGCUACCAAGACUUACCUCCUGAUAAAGCUCUUGCUGCUUUAGCAAUUGAGGAAAAACGAAGGCAAUAUGCAGCUGCUGAAAAGUACCUUGAAGAAGUUCUGCAUUCAGCUCUUGCCACGUCAGAAUAAUUCCAGCACUAGCAGUAAACAACAAAGAAAAGAUCGAAAGUGAACGGGAGAUGGAAUGGGAACAGUGAAAGAGAAGAAUGAUGCUACAGCAGUUUAAUUGAUUGUUUAAAGCUUUGAAAAUGAGGUGAAUUUCGUCACUGAUUCCGACACUGGUUCAAAGGUACACUGAAUUUCGUUGGUUGAUCACAUCAGCUAAUACAAGGCCAGCGAGAAAGAUGUCAUUUUACCACAAGAUCUUCACAAAGGGCUACCUGGAUACACACACAACACAAUCUUGUUCCCUUGUUAUCGUUAAAUUUGGAUGUUUGAUAUAUUUUGUUUUGGAUUCCAUGAACUUAUAAUAUAAUAGUUACACGAUAAUGAACAUAUUUUGACUUCUA